AACGAACGCUGGCGGCAUGCCUAACACAUGCAAGUCGAACGAGACCUUCGGGUCUAGUGGCGCACGGGUGCGUAACGCGUGGGAACCUGCCCUUAGGUUCGGAAUAACUCCCCGAAAGGGGUGCUAAUACCGGAUAAUGUCUUCGGACCAAAGAUUUAUCGCCUUUGGAUGGGCCCGCGUUGGAUUAGCUAGUUGGUAGGGUAAAAGCCUACCAAGGCGACGAUCCAUAGCUGGUCUGAGAGGAUGAUCAGCCACACUGGGACUGAGACACGGCCCAGACUCCUACGGGAGGCAGCAGUGGGGAAUAUUGGACAAGGGCGAAAGCCUGAUCCAGCAAUGCCGCGUGAGUGAUGAAGGCCUUAGGGUUGUAAAGCUCUUUUACCCGGGAUGAUAAUGACAGUACCGGGAGAAUAAGCUCCGGCUCACUCCGUG
This 432-nucleotide ribosomal RNA is filed under the name uncultured bacterium. RNAcentral's name for it is "partial 16S ribosomal RNA". It matches the Rfam family "Bacterial small subunit ribosomal RNA", at positions 29 to 507 of the family's 1533-position model. The record is from RNAcentral.